Molecule: ribosomal RNA, 448 nt
Filed under: uncultured bacterium
Lineage: Bacteria
Description: bacterial SSU rRNA
Rfam family: Bacterial small subunit ribosomal RNA
Source: RNAcentral
UACCAGACUCCUACGGGAGGCAGCAGUGGGGAAUAUUGCACAAUGGGGGAAACCCCGAUGCAGCAACGCCGCGUGAGUGAAGAAGUAUUUCGGUAUGUAAAGCUCUCUCAGCAGGGAAGAGAAUGACGGUACCUGACUAAGAAGCCCCGGCUAACUACGUGCCAGCAGCCGCGGUAAUACGUAGGGGGCAAGCGUUAUCCGGAUUUACUGGGUGUAAAGGGGGCGCAGACGGCGAUGCAAGCCAGGAGUGAAAGCCCGGGGCCCAACCCCGGGACUGCUCUUGGAACUGCGUGGCUGGAGUGCAGGAGGGGCAGGCGGAAUUCCUGGUGUAGCGGUGAAAUGCGUAGAUAUCAGGAGGAACACCGGUGGCGAAGGCGGCCUGCUGGACUGCAACUGACGUUGAGGCCCGAAAGCGUGGGGAGCAAACAGGAUUAGAUACCCCUGUACC